This is a long non-coding RNA of Sebastes umbrosus (honeycomb rockfish), 324 nucleotides long. RefSeq lists it as uncharacterized. The transcript has 2 exons. Lineage: Eukaryota; Metazoa; Chordata; Actinopteri; Perciformes; Sebastidae. The record is from RefSeq and is a predicted model, not a curated record.
AGGCUGAGUGGACUAGUUCUACUGGGACCGGACAGGCUGAGUGGACUAGUUCUACUGGGACCAGAGAAGCUGAGUGGACUGGUUAUAUUAUACUUUGAGAAUGAAGAAGAUGAACCUGGAGCCGAUUGAGGAGGACUUUGCGGUGCCUCGCAGAAUGACGUUCAGACAGCAGCUUUACUCACUGGUUUGCUGGGGUAUACAUCUGAGAUGUGCGCUUUGAGCUUCUCCACAGUCCAGGUCUGGGAGCAGUUGAUGGUCUGGUCAUCGUACUUCUGGUUGGGCGCCCUGAUGACAAGGGUAACAGGACCGUCCACAACACCCUGA